GGGCACUUGGCACAGUGGUAGCGCGCACGCUUCGCAUACAAUCAGCAAAAGGCAAUGCGUGAGGUCCAGGGUUCAAUCCCCUGAGUGUCCA
Molecule: transfer RNA, 91 nt
Filed under: Moniliophthora perniciosa FA553
Lineage: Eukaryota; Fungi; Basidiomycota; Agaricomycetes; Agaricales; Marasmiaceae
Rfam family: tRNA
About the family: Transfer RNA (tRNA) molecules are approximately 80 nucleotides in length.
Source: Rfam by way of RNAcentral